GGGGAAUCUUGCGCAAUGGGCGAAAGCCUGACGCAGCAACGCCGCGUGCGGGAUGAAGGCCCUAGGGUCGUAAACCGCUUUCGACAGGGAAGAAAAUGACGGUACCUGUAGAAGAAGCCCCGGCCAACUACGUGCCAGCAGCCGCGGUAAUACGUAGGGGGCAAGCGUUGUCCGGAUUUAUUGGGCGUAAAGAGCUCGUAGGCGGUUAACUAAGUCAGGUGUGAAAACUCAGGGCCCAACCCUGAGCGUGCACUUGAAACUGGUUUGACUAGAGUCUAGUAGGGGAGUGUGGAAUUCCCAGUGUAGCGGUGAAAUGCGCAGAUAUUGGGAGGAACACCGACAGCGAAGGCAGCACUCUGGGCUAGUACUGACGCUGAGGAGCGAAAGCAUGGGUAGCAAAC
RNAcentral lists this ribosomal RNA (401 nucleotides) under uncultured bacterium. RNAcentral describes it as "bacterial SSU rRNA". It matches the Rfam family "Bacterial small subunit ribosomal RNA", at positions 356 to 773 of the family's 1533-position model. The record is from RNAcentral.